RNAcentral lists this long non-coding RNA (620 nucleotides) under Oryzias sinensis (Chinese medaka). RNAcentral describes it as "lncRNA (ENSOSIG00000004323.1)". The record is from RNAcentral. Lineage: Eukaryota; Metazoa; Chordata; Actinopteri; Beloniformes; Adrianichthyidae.
UUCCCUCAGAUCCUACAAAAUAAAAGUCCCAAACCUACAUGCUGACUGUCUGACCACUAAAAGAAACAGGAGAACAAGGAUUUGACAGAAAAUGGCAGCUCUCCCCUAUAAAGUUAACAGUUUCUGUCUCUUCCAAAUCAGCCCAUGAGCCCAGCCUGAUGUCACCACUGUUAGACUGCAGACUGGGGCUGCUAUACUGCUCCAACUCUUCUAUCUGAUCCUCAAUCAUCAAUACAACCACUGGCACCUGGUCAGGGGCGUGUCCAACCUGAGAGGUAACCAUCCAUGACAAUCCCCUUCACGUUGUAGCAGUGUUUCCAGCUAGAGCUAGGGCCUCCAUCCACAUCAGUUUAGAGAAACCGUCCAGGUUUACUUUGAACCAAGAGGAAACUUUUUUAUUUAAAAUGGAAACUAACUGGAGCCAGGUUAGUUUACCAGCUAUUUACUGGUUGUUGUUACAAAUUCAUAUCAGAGUUUAUUUGCAGGAAACGACCAAACUUCACAAUUUGACCCCAUAGUGACGUUUGAGAAGUUAGAAUUAGAGGAAGUGCAGUUCUCCAUCAGUCCACUGGGGGAGCUGCAGCACAAUAACUGAGAGACAGUGGAGCUGAUCUCAGAUC